Pseudopipra pipra is the source of this 1248-nucleotide long non-coding RNA. RefSeq lists it as uncharacterized. The transcript has 2 exons. NCBI's taxonomy places the organism in Eukaryota, Metazoa, Chordata, Aves, Passeriformes, Pipridae. The record is from RefSeq and is a predicted model, not a curated record.
UUUUUUUUGGUAGUGUGGGGGGCUACAGAGAUAGCUUCUGUAGAAGCUGCUAAAAGUUUCCCCCCCAUGGAGCCAAAGAUGGUUGGCUCCAGGGCAGACUUCCUGGUGCUGACCAGGAGGAGAGCCAAUUAGAAGUUUUAGUAACGCCUCUGUGAUAACAUAUUUAAGAAAAAACUGGUUGCGCAGAAGAAAUUCCAGCCAGGGAAGAACUGACCGAAGCUCCCAGGUGGCCCCGCCACCUCCCUCCCCACAGCGGGGCGGUGGUGGCAGGCUGGCCCAGGGUUCCCGGCACGCAGCCGCUGCGGCCAGAGCCAGGGCCAGGAACGGGUCUGCGGCCCUGCGGAGAGCGGCCCCACAGCCCCCAGGCCCGCCCCGUGAAGCAGCCCGUGCUCAAGCCCAUUCUGCCCAAGUAGCCAAGCCAGGCUGGGCCGAGGGGCGUGGGGGCGCCCUGUGAACUGGGCCAGAGGGCGGCCAGAUCAAGGAUGCUGGAGCAGGUGGAUGAAUGAAAGAGACAGUCAUCCGUGGGAGGCCCAGCAGGGAGUGGGGUCCUGCAGGAGAUUUGCGGCCCGUGGAGAGAGGAGCCCAUGCCAGAGCAAGUUAUUCCCAGGUCUUAGUGAUUUUAGUGGUUGCCUAGAAUCCGGCCAAGGUCAACCCACGACAGCUACAAAGAUGAUGAGAAGAUUGGAACAUCUGUAUUAUGAGGACAGCCUGAAGCAGUCUCAAGAAGGGAUGUCUGAGAUGGGACCUCAUCACUCUCUAUAAGUAUCUGAAGAGAGGAUGUCAAGAGGAUGGACCCAGGUUCUUCUCAGUGAUGCCAAGCAAUAGGACAAGAGGCAAUGGGCAGAAAACGAUGUACAGGAAGUUCCACUUGAACACAGGGAAGACCUUUGCUGUGCAGGUGACAGCACACUGAAACAAAUUGCACGGAGAGGUUGUAGAGUCUUUCUCACUAGGGAUAUUCAAGAAUCUUCUGGAUGCAAUCAUGUACCAUGUACUCCAGGAUGACCCUGCUUGAGCAGGGAGGUUUGACCAGAACACCUAUUGCUGAUCCCUUCCAACCUGCCCCAUCCUAUGCUUCUGUGUUAAAAAAGAAAGAAUUUUCCAUAUAUAUAUAGAUCAACCUAUCUAAUGAACAGCAUUUUUAGCUCUGCUGAAAUCAGUAAUGAAUGUCCAUGGCAGUUAGUGAGAGAAAUUUUAACAGCGAUAGGUCCUUUGAUAAUACUUUAAACAUUGCUACUGAAAAAAGUA